RNAcentral lists this ribosomal RNA (253 nucleotides) under uncultured bacterium. Its description in RNAcentral is "partial 16S ribosomal RNA". It matches the Rfam family "Bacterial small subunit ribosomal RNA", at positions 524 to 776 of the family's 1533-position model. The record is from RNAcentral.
UACAGAGGGUGCAAGCGUUAAUCGGAGUUACUGGGCGUAAAGGGCGUGUAGGCUGUUAUUUAAGUCGGUUGUGAAAUCCCUGGGCUUAACCUAGGAAUUGCAGUCGAUACUGAAUAUCUAGAGUAUGGUAGAGGAAAGUGGAAUUCUCGGUGUAGUGGUUAAAUACGUAGAUAUCGAGAAGAACACCGGUGGCGAAGGCGGCUUUCUGGACCAAUACUGACGCUGAGGCGCGAAAGCGUGGGGAGCAAACAGG